GUGCUCAUUUCAGCAGCACAUAGACCAAAAUAGGAACAGCACACAAAUUAGCAUGGUCCCUGUGCAAGGAUGGCAUGCAUGUCUGUGAAACAUUCCAUGAUUUU
Small nuclear RNA from Phyllostomus discolor (pale spear-nosed bat), 104 nucleotides. NCBI's taxonomy places the organism in Eukaryota, Metazoa, Chordata, Mammalia, Chiroptera, Phyllostomidae. The record is from RefSeq and is a predicted model, not a curated record.